GAUCCUGGCUCAGAUUGAACGCUGGCGGCAGGCCUAACACAUGCAAGUCGAACGGUAACAGGAAGAAGCUUGCUUCUUUGCUGACGAGUGGCGGACGGGUGAGUAAUGUCUGGGAAACUGCCUGAUGGAGGGGGGAUAACUACUGGAAACGGUAGCUAAUACCGCAUAACGUCGCAAGACCAAAGAGGGGGACCUUCGGGCCUCUUGCCAUCGGAUGUGCCCAGAUGGGAUUAGCUAGUAGGUGGGGUAACGGCUCACCUAGGCGACGAUCCCCUAAGCUGGUCUGAGAGGAUGACCAGCCACACUGGAACUGAGACACGGUCCAGACUCCUACGGGAGGCAGCAGUGGGGAAUAUUGCACAAUGGGCGCAAGCCUGAUGCAGCCAUGCCGCGUGUAUGAAGAAGGCCUUCGGGUUGUAAAGUACUUUCAGCGGGAGGAAGGAGUAAAGUUAAUACCUUUGCUCAUUGACGUUACCCGCAGAAGAAGCACCGGCUAACUCCGUG
RNAcentral lists this ribosomal RNA (504 nucleotides) under uncultured bacterium. Its description in RNAcentral is "bacterial SSU rRNA". It matches the Rfam family "Bacterial small subunit ribosomal RNA", at positions 15 to 507 of the family's 1533-position model. The record is from RNAcentral.